Molecule: long non-coding RNA, 418 nt
Filed under: Physcomitrium patens
Lineage: Eukaryota; Viridiplantae; Streptophyta; Bryopsida; Funariales; Funariaceae
Description: long non-coding RNA (PPAT_LNC004004)
Source: RNAcentral
AGAGGGCCGGUUAUGAACCAGGGUCGAAAUCAGAUCCUAAGACACAAAACCGAGUCUCAACGAUGACUCCGGGGUUCUUUUGCAGAUUGAAGAAAGGGAUUUGAUAGCAAACUCAAUAAGGUUUCUAUGAGCAUUAAUUUUAGGUAAUUUGGAGUUGUUUUGACUUUAUAAGAGCUUUACAAAGUUAAGAUUGUUUUUAGAUGACUUGGGGUUUGAAAAAUAAAAUAGGGUUGAUGUUUCUGGUGAUUUCAAGAGUUUAAUAAUAGAUCUAUAAGUGAAAUUUUUUAGGUUAAUGGUCAUAGUUGUGCUUAAUGUGUGUUGUAAAUAUUAACUCGAUUUAAUGGUUGAAUUGACAAUUAUUGAGGUUUAAGUUGGUGAAGGUCUCAGAAAGUAGAAUUUUAGGUCCAAUGUGUGUUUU